This is an RNA transcript of Cebus imitator (Panamanian white-faced capuchin), 549 nucleotides long. It is a transcript of the gene named prothymosin alpha-like, with no coding region annotated. NCBI's taxonomy places the organism in Eukaryota, Metazoa, Chordata, Mammalia, Primates, Cebidae. The record is from RefSeq and is a predicted model, not a curated record. The transcript has a single exon.
CUGCUCUGAAAAGCCAUCUUUGCAUUGUUCCUCGCCUGGCUCCUUGCUCACUGCAGCCGCCUCAGCCAGGCGCCUCCUUCCCUGCUGCGGACUCCGGCAGCUUUAUCACCAGAGUCCCUGACUCGCCUUCUUUUUAAUCCCUUGCAUUGGAUCACCGGCGUGCCCCGCCAUGUCAGACGCAGCCGUAGACAUCAGCUCCAAAAUCACCACCAAGGACUUGAAGGAGAAGAAGGAAGUUGUGGAGGAGGUGGAAAAUGGAAGAGAUGCCCCUGCUAACGGGAAUGCUAAUGAGGAAAAUGGGGAGCAGGAGGCUGACAAUGAGGUAGAUGAAGAAGAAGGUGGGGAGGAAGAGGAGGAGGAAGAAAGUGAUGGUGAGGAGGAGGAUGGAGAUGAAGAUGGGAGGCUGAGUCUGCUACGGGCGAGUGGGCAGCUGCAGAUGCUGAGGAUGACUAUGUGGAUACCAAGAAGCAGAAGACUGACGAGGAUGACUAGACAGCAAAAAAGGAAAACUUAAACUAAAAAAAAAAAAAAAAAAAGCUGCCGUGACCU